RNAcentral lists this ribosomal RNA (253 nucleotides) under uncultured bacterium. RNAcentral describes it as "partial 16S ribosomal RNA". It matches the Rfam family "Bacterial small subunit ribosomal RNA", at positions 524 to 776 of the family's 1533-position model. The record is from RNAcentral.
UACAGAGGUCCCAAGCGUUGUUCGGAUUCACUGGGCGUAAAGGGUGCGUAGGCGGUCGGGUAAGUCUGACGUGAAAUCUUCAAGCUCAACUUGGAAACUGCGUCGGAUACUAUUCGGCUAGAGGAAUGGAGGGGAGACUGGAAUACUUGGUGUAGCAGUGAAAUGCGUAGAUAUCAAGUGGAACACCAGUGGCGAAGGCGAGUCUCUGGACAUUUCCUGACGCUGAGGCACGAAAGCGUGGGGAGCAAACAGG